Molecule: ribosomal RNA, 426 nt
Filed under: uncultured bacterium
Lineage: Bacteria
Description: bacterial SSU rRNA
Rfam family: Bacterial small subunit ribosomal RNA
Source: RNAcentral
UCGAGAAUUUUUCACAAUGGGCGCAAGCCUGAUGGAGCGACGCCGCGUGGGGGAUGAAUGGCUUCGGCCCGUAAACCCCUGUCAUUUGCGAUCAAACCUUGCUAUUUAAAAGAUGGCGAGCUGAUAGUAGCGAAAGAGGAAGGGACGGCUAACUCUGUGCCAGCAGCCGCGGUAAUACAGAGGUCCCAAGCGUUGUUCGGAUUCACUGGGCGUAAAGGGUGCGUAGGUGGUGGGGUAAGUCGGAUGUGAAAUCUCGGAGCUCAACUCCGAAAUGGCAUUGGAAACUACCCUGCUAGAGGGUCGGAAAAAAGACUGGAAUUCUCGGUGUAGCAGUGAAAUGCGUAGAUAUCGAGAGGAACACCAGUGGCGAAGGCGAGUCCCUGGACGACUCCUGACACUGAGGCACGAAAGCUAGAGGAGCAAACA